This 234-nucleotide ribosomal RNA is filed under the name uncultured bacterium. RNAcentral describes it as "partial 16S ribosomal RNA". It matches the Rfam family "Bacterial small subunit ribosomal RNA", at positions 15 to 225 of the family's 1533-position model. The record is from RNAcentral.
GAUCCUGGCUCAGGACGAACGCUGGCGGCGUGCUUAACACAUGCAAGUCGAACGAAGAGCGAUGGAAGCUUGCUUCUAUCAAUCUUAGUGGCGAACGGGUGAGUAACGCGUAAUCAACCUGCCCUUCAGAGGGGGACAACAGUUGGAAACGACUGCUAAUACCGCAUACGAUCUAAUCUCGGCAUCGAGGGAUAGAUGAAAGGUGGCCUCUACAUGUAAGCUAUCACUGAAGGG